GAUGAACGCUAGCUACAGGCCUAACACAUGCAAGUCGAGGGGCAGCGGGAAGGAAGCUUGCUUUCUUCGCCGGCGACCGGCGCACGGGUGCGUAACGCGUAUCGAACCUACCCUUUACUCGGGAACAGCCUUCCGAAAGGAAGAUUAAUACCGCAUAAGAUUGUAAUGCCGCAUGGCAUAGCAAUUAAAGGAGCAAUCCGCUAUGAGAUGGACCCGCGUCGCAUUAGCUUGUUGGCGGGGUAACGGCCCACCAAGGCGACGAUGGGUAGGGGUUCUGAGAGGAAGGUCCCCCACAUUGGAACUGAGACACGGUCCAAACUCCUACGGGAGGCAGCAGUGAGGAAUAUUGGUCAAUGGGCGAAAGCCUGAACCAGCCAAGUAGCGUGCAGGAAGACGGCCCUCUGGGUUGUAAACUGCUUUUAGUCGGGAAUAAAAUGCGGCACGUGUGCCGCUUUGCAUGUACCGUCAGAAAAAGGACCGGCUAAUUCCGUG
Molecule: ribosomal RNA, 492 nt
Filed under: uncultured bacterium
Lineage: Bacteria
Description: bacterial SSU rRNA
Rfam family: Bacterial small subunit ribosomal RNA
Source: RNAcentral